This is a small nuclear RNA of Meriones unguiculatus (Mongolian gerbil), 107 nucleotides long. The record is from Ensembl. NCBI's taxonomy places the organism in Eukaryota, Metazoa, Chordata, Mammalia, Rodentia, Muridae.
GUGCUCAGUUCGGCAGCACAUAUACUAAAAUUGGAACUAUACAGAGAAGAUUAGCAUGGCCCCUGCACAAGGAUGACACCCAAAUUCGUGAAGUGGUCCAUUUUUUU